UACGUAGGUGGCAAGCGUUGUCCGGAAUUAUUGGGCGUAAAGCGCGCGCAGGCGGUCCUUUAAGUCUGAUGUGAAAGCCCCCGGCUCAACCGGGGAGGGUCAUUGGAAACUGGGGGACUUGAGUGCAGAAGAGGAGAGUGGAAUUCCACGUGUAGCGGUGAAAUGCGUAGAGAUGUGGAGGAACACCAGUGGCGAAGGCGACUCUCUGGUCUGUAACUGACGCUGAGGCGCGAAAGCGUGGGGAGCAAACAGG
RNAcentral lists this ribosomal RNA (253 nucleotides) under uncultured bacterium. Its description in RNAcentral is "partial 16S ribosomal RNA". It matches the Rfam family "Bacterial small subunit ribosomal RNA", at positions 524 to 776 of the family's 1533-position model. The record is from RNAcentral.